RNAcentral lists this transfer RNA (87 nucleotides) under Longibacter salinarum. RNAcentral describes it as "tRNA-Leu". It matches the Rfam family "tRNA". From Rfam's summary of the family: Transfer RNA (tRNA) molecules are approximately 80 nucleotides in length. Their secondary structure includes four short double-helical elements and three loops (D, anti-codon, and T loops). Lineage: Bacteria; Pseudomonadati; Rhodothermota; Rhodothermia; Rhodothermales; Salisaetaceae. The record is from RNAcentral. RNAcentral also lists the same sequence under 1 other name.
GCGAAAGUGGCGGAAUUGGCAGACGCGCUAGAUUUAGGAUCUAGUGGGGUUAAACCCGUGGGGGUUCGAGUCCCCCCUUUCGCACCA